RNAcentral lists this ribosomal RNA (809 nucleotides) under uncultured Dikarya. RNAcentral's name for it is "eukaryotic LSU rRNA". The stretch from base 602 to 809 matches the Rfam family "Eukaryotic large subunit ribosomal RNA", at positions 1 to 208 of the family's 3401-position model. The record is from RNAcentral. Lineage: Eukaryota; Fungi.
GCUUUCGGACCGGCCCCAGGUGGGAGGCAACUCUCGCUCAGGGUAGGAAAGUCAGUCAAACUUGGUCAUUUAGAGGAAGUACAAGUCGUAACAAGGUUUCCGUAGGUGAACCUGCGGAAGGAUCAUUAUAGAAUUGGUUGCUUGCAACCUUCACUAUAACAUACUGUUCACGUUCCUGUUGCUUCCCUAGCGUUAGGAGGCUUUCCUCUUGCGGGACUGUUUCUGCUAGGGAACUUUGUCAAACAUAUUGUGUAUUUAUUCUGAAUCUACCAUGAAAAUGGAUAUUAAAACUUUCAACAACGGAUCUCUAGGCUCUUGCAUCGAUGAAGAACGCAGCGAAAUGCGAUAAGUAGUGUGAAUUGCAGAUUUCAGUGAAUCAUCGAAUCUUUGAACGCACAUUGCGCCCUUUGGUAUUCCGAAGGGCAUGCCUGUCUGAGCGUCAGUAAAUCAAUCAAACUUUGGUUUGGUAUUGGGAGAAGUGGCUUUGCCUCUCUCCUUUAAGCUAUUGGCGACGCUAUUUCAGCUUGUAAGACGUAGUAAGUAAUUUCUCGUUAAAGCAACUGUAUAGCUGUCUGCCAAAUGAACGAUUUAUUUAACAGCUUGACCUCAGAUCAGGUAGGGAUACCCCCUGAACUUAAGCAUAUCAAUAAGGGGAGGAAAAGAAACCAACAGGGAUUGCCUCAGUAACGGCGAGUGAAGCGGCAAAAGCUCAAAUUUGAAAUCUGGCGUCUUCGGCGUCCGAGUUGUAAUUUGUAGAGGUAGCUUUGGGUUACAGCCAGGUCUAUGUUCCUUGGAACAGGACGUCAUAG